This 301-nucleotide ribosomal RNA is filed under the name uncultured bacterium. RNAcentral's name for it is "partial 16S ribosomal RNA". It matches the Rfam family "Bacterial small subunit ribosomal RNA", at positions 509 to 809 of the family's 1533-position model. The record is from RNAcentral.
CAGCAGCCGCGGUAAUACGAAGGGUGCAAGCGUUAAUCGGAAUUACUGGGCGUAAAGCGUGCGUAGGCGGUUUGUUAAGUCUGUUGUGAAAUCCCCGGGCUCAACCUGGGAAUGGCAAUGGAUACUGGCAAGCUAGAGUGUGUCAGAGGAUGGUGGAAUUCCCGGUGUAGCGGAGAAAUGCGUAGAGAUCGGGAGGAACAUCAGUGGCGAAGGCGGCCAUCUGGGACAACACUGACGCUGAGGCACGAAAGCGUGGGGAGCAAACAGGAUUAGAUACCCCCGUAGUCCCUGUCCUUAUACA